Molecule: ribosomal RNA, 497 nt
Filed under: uncultured bacterium
Lineage: Bacteria
Description: partial 16S ribosomal RNA
Rfam family: Bacterial small subunit ribosomal RNA
Source: RNAcentral
GAUGAACGCUGGCGGCGUGCCUAAUACAUGCAAGUCGAGCGAACAGACGAGGAGCUUGCUCCUCUGACGUUAGCGGCGGACGGGUGAGUAACACGUGGAUAACCUACCUAUAAGACUGGGAUAACUUCGGGAAACCGGAGCUAAUACCGGAUAAUAUAUUGAACCGCAUGGUUCAAUAGUGAAAGACGGUUUUGCUGUCACUUAUAGAUGGAUCCGCGCCGCAUUAGCUAGUUGGUAAGGUAACGGAUUACCAAGGCAACGAUGCGUAGCCGACCUGAGCGGGGGGGCGGACACACCAGAACUGAGACGCGGUCCAGACUCCUACGGGAGGCAGCAGUAGGGAAUCUUCCGCAAUGGGCGAAAGCCUGACGGAGCAACGCCGCGUGAGUGAUGAAGGUCUUCGGAUCGUAAAACUCUGUUAUUAGGGAAGAACAAAUGUGUAAGUAACUAUGCACGUCUUGACGGUACCUAAUCAGAAAGCCACGGCUAACUACGUG